Molecule: ribosomal RNA, 253 nt
Filed under: uncultured bacterium
Lineage: Bacteria
Description: partial 16S ribosomal RNA
Rfam family: Bacterial small subunit ribosomal RNA
Source: RNAcentral
UACGGAGGGUGCGAGCGUUGUCCGGAAUCACUGGGCGUAAAGGGCGCGUAGGCGGCCUGAUAAGUAGGGGGUGAAAUCCUGCGGCUUAACCGCAGGGCUGCCUUCUAAACUGUCAGGCUUGAGCACAGUAGAGGCAGGUGGAAUUCCCGGUGUAGCGGUGGAAUGCGUAGAGAUCGGGAAGAACAUCGGUGGCGAAGGCGGCCUGCUGGGCUGUUGCUGACGCUGAGGCGCGACAGCGUGGGGAGCAAACAGG